GUGCUUACCUGGCAGGGGAGUUAAUGUGGUCACAGAACUAAGGUUGUUUUUUGUUUUUGUUUUUCCCCAGAAUGGGACUGAACUCUUAGACUCUAAUGUGCUUACCUCUGAGAUUUUUCCAAAGAUGAGGAACUCCACUGCAUAGUUUUGGGCAAGUGUAUUCACAUUCAUC
This is a small nuclear RNA of Onychomys torridus (southern grasshopper mouse), 172 nucleotides long. RefSeq annotates it as U1 spliceosomal RNA. The record is from RefSeq and is a predicted model, not a curated record. NCBI's taxonomy places the organism in Eukaryota, Metazoa, Chordata, Mammalia, Rodentia, Cricetidae. The transcript has a single exon.